Molecule: long non-coding RNA, 2769 nt
Filed under: Sus scrofa (pig)
Lineage: Eukaryota; Metazoa; Chordata; Mammalia; Artiodactyla; Suidae
Also listed under: 1 other name
Description: lncRNA (ENSSSCG00000062164.1, ENSSSCG00130017094.1)
Source: RNAcentral
UUUGUUUGUUUGCCACAACUGUGGCAUGCAGAAGCUCCUGGGCGCAGCUAUGGCAACACCUGGAUUCUUAACCUGCUGAGCCAUGAGGGAACUUCCUCUUUUUUUCUUUUUCAAAAUAACUAUAGACAAAUUGUUCGAAACAUAUAAUGUAGGUCUACUAAGUGUUUAAGGCUAUAGGAAAUGGGAAAACAGAAAGUUGGGGCUUCUAGAUAAAAUUUCUAAAAGGACAACGUAAGGCAUCAAUGCAUUAUAAAUGCAUUGUAUAUAAGAAUGUUGUUCUAAUAUCUGAAAACACAUUGGUUAGGCUAAAAUGUUCUUACUAACUGGGGAGUAAAGUUCUACUUUACUCUUUGCUGUACUUUUCACUUAAGAAAAAAUAACAUAAAAAGAAAGGUCAUCCACUCAAGGAAAUCUUAUGUUAAUUCAACAUCUGCAAAACACAUGGUUAGGCUGUAUAGACUAUCCAAAAAAUACAUAGUGCAAAUAAACAGUCAUUAAUUCCAUAGCUAUAAACAUCAACAGAGUAAUAUGAACCCCAAAGAAAGAAUAGUUUGUCCUUGGGUGGGAGUUAGAAGAGAUUGGACUCGGAAUACGUUCACUUUUCAAUAAUUAUUGGCAAUCUACUGUAUGCCUAGCCCAGUGUUGGAUGAUACCAAAAAGUACCAAUGUUGGCUUCAAAAUCAGGGUACUAACAGAUUAAGUUCUCAUUUCUUAUACUUACCUGAAAUAAAAUAUUUAAGAACCAGUCUACACCACACAAUGAACAAAUAUAUGUCAAUAGCUUCUAGCAACAAUACAAAGAGAUAAAGUAGAAUUAUUAUUCUGGUACAUUUAAUGCUAUUGAUAUAAAUACUCUUGGACAAGUGGUUUGUUUUCACUGAGCUCAGAUUCUCAUCCACAAUAUGAAGUUGUUUCAUUCCAUAGGCUGUCUGUAUCAUAAACAUCUGAUCCAAAUAUUAAGAAUGUUUAUUUCUAGCCCUGUCUCAGACCUGAAAAUAAAAAAGAACAUCUGGCUUUGGGGCCUGGAAAUAUGCAAUCCAGGAGAUUGUUAUGCACGUGGAAGUCUGAGACUACUCCAAUAGAUUUUCUUGAAAUUAACUUCUGAUUCUAUUCUGCUAUAGUUACAUGAGUUACAUAGUUUACCUUAAAAGUUACCUAUAGUUCCAUAGUUUACUUUAAAAAUUAAAGAGAACUUUUAAGGUAAAUUUAACUAAAAUCAACACAUAAAAUUAAAAAGUCGGCGAUUAUAAUUAAUCAUCAAGUUUAUCAUGCUAGAAUAAACACCUAUUUUUGAAGCCAUCCCCCAAAUAUUGUGGACAAAUGUGAUUUCUAUGGCCACAUUAAUAAACUUUAGUUCAUACUUUCCAAAAACAUUAAUAGUUUGAAGAUAAAGUUCCAUGGACAAGUAAACUUGGGAAACUUGGAUAUAAAUAUCCAACUUAUAAUUUAGUUUACAUAACUUUAUAUAAAUUAUAUAAUUUAUAUAACAAUGUAACUUACUUUAAGAGUGCUUUUCAGAGAUAAUAAUAGAGAAAAUGCUGUCUUUUUUCCCCUUCCUAUAACCAUUCGUUUCCUACUAGGAAUAAGCAACUUCUGGGGAACCUUAUACAAAGCAUCAAUCUUGAAGAGUCUUAGGACUCUUAAUAAGUUAAUGGCAUAUUUUUACUCUAGAAACCUGAACUAACUGUGAGGCUAAUGCAAUUUAAGACAAAUUCUUUCUAGUUUAACAGAUUAUAGAGUCCAAGCUCUGAGAUUUCAACCUGCAUUUACAAAGUUCCAUGGCUUUUCAAACUCAAAAUGAUUAAAACUUAAUUGACUCUUUUCCCUUUUGACACAUUUAUCUUCAUUAAUGACAGUGAGCAUGACUUAAAACCUGAGAAUUUUGAGUCCACAUCCAUUCAUUUAAAAACACUUACUGAGAGCCUAGAUUAUGCUAGGAAUAGAAAGACAAACAAAAUAGAGACAGUUUUUUGUUUUGGGUUUUUUUUGGGGGGGUGCUAACCAAUUACUAUAAACAUGAUAAGUGAUUAUAAGUAUUAUAAUAAAAAUGCUAAAGCAACAACAACAAAAAAGUAAGGACAUCUCCUCACACCUGUAAAGAUGUUGGGCACUGAUUGAGAUGCUGGAGACACAAACCUGAGAAAGAUACAAUUUCUUUCUUCAAUAACAAUGAAACCUCUCAUGAUAUAAGAAAAAGAAAAAUGCCUAAAUAAAUAGUUACUAACACUGUGAAAAGAAGGGGAUGAAGUUUGCUUUGGGCGCCAAUGAAAUCUUCACAGAAGUAAAAAUUUGGUUGAUUAUAUACUUUUUUGCUAUAUACUUUUUUAAUCUUUUUUUUUCUGGCCACCCCCGUGGCAUGUGGAAGUUCCUGGGCAUGAGAUCCAACCCAUGCCACAGCAGUGACUCAAGCAGCUGCAGUGACAAUGCCAGAUCCUUAACCACUGCACCACAAGAGAACUCUUGCGAUACAAUUUUUUAAUGUUCAAAUUAAACUAAAAGAAGUGGCUGUACAAAGGCACCAGGACAAGAAACAGCUCCUUCUGUUAAUAGUUCUACUACUCCAUGUGGUCAAAAUAAGUAAUAGCUCUAUAUGAUCAAAGCAAGGAUGCAGAAGGGAAUGGCAAGAGAUGUUAAAUGGUGUUACAGGCUUUCUUCUUAGUUGCAAAGAACAGGACCACUCAAGACAUCUCAAGGAAAGGGAAGUCAGUGCAAGAAUAAACGUGAAUUAGAACUGGAAAAACAAAUUCAGGCAGCCCUAAGAACCAGUCC